This is a long non-coding RNA of Equus asinus (donkey), 2213 nucleotides long. Lineage: Eukaryota; Metazoa; Chordata; Mammalia; Perissodactyla; Equidae. The record is from Ensembl.
CAGAUUCCCUUCCCCACCCAACCACCUCCCUAUCGUAAACCAUGCAUAAGUUCAAGAUCCCUGGAGCCACAAUGAAGUGGGGAAGGAAGGAAAGGGAACCUAACUAGUGUGUUUAUGGGAGGGAGUGGGAGAGCUUGCCCUAGUUCCUAAAAUCAAUCCAGGAAACCCAGUGCUGGGGGGAGGUGGGACUGGUGGAGCACAUUUCAAGACCCAAAGGAACAACAGGCCCAUACAGCCAUUCAUGUCACCAUCUAGUGGGAUAGGAAAGGCAGACUGCCAAGGGACCAGGGACAGCAGCUGAGAAUUUGUACCACUCCAACUCCUCAAUCUAGCUCUCCCCACCAGUGUUCCAAAGCUGACAACUACUUCAUCAGCUCUCUUCAGAAACCCUAACUACUACUACAGACCCACCACAGAAGAGAAUAUCCAAGUGAUUUCAAUCACUGGGUGCUGUUCUACCAAAGUAUUUAGCAAUCAAGAUACUCUGACUCUUCCUUAUAUAAUAAAUGGCCAGCUAUUAAUGAUAUUUGCCCUAAUGCUUAAUUUUUCUUUAUCCUACACAGAAACCCUUGGGGUAUGAGGAUGUCUUUGGAUCAAACUCAAUCUAUUGAGAAUUAUUCUAUCAGCUUGAAAUGAGGUCAUGAGAACACUUCUACCCUCCCCGCAACCCAAGACACAAAUAUCUGGUGGGGAUAUUAUAUAUGUUCAUAAAGACUUAUUUGAAAGUAUAGACAGGGGGGCCCAGAAAUAAAGCAUUAAGCCAGUAUGGAUUCCCUCCCAGUCAGGGGACGGGCGUAGUCAUGAACACCCCUAACCAAACACCAAGCUGCUAAGGGUGCUGAAGUCCAGUCUGGGCUUUGAUCCUUGGUUUAUUGACUUCUUCUGAAGAAGAGAUUUUUAAUUCUGCCUCUCAAUCCAAAAGGAGGCAGAGUUGGAGACAUCAAAGAGGACAGAGGAAUGGCUGGUCUGAUUUCAGGGUGAAACUUUUUCACCCUCCUAGGUCAACCAGACUGGUGGCCUUAACUUGUCAAAGAGAAAGUGAGGACAAAAUCUCUAGGUAUAAAGCCAAGUGUGGCUUCAUGGCAUGAAGGCAAUCUCUAUACCUCAAGAAGAAAGGGUGAGAAAUGCAAAAGCCAUGCCCCAAACCCUCCUCUCCAUCGCCAGGAGCAAUGUCUUAAGGAAGAGGAAAAGGCCACCUGCCACUUCCGCUUAUGAGAACAAACGCACAAAGCUCAUGAGAAUAAUUCUUCCUUCUCCACUGACACAGAGCUGGUGAUAGGAUGGGGAUCUCAAGACAAGUCUCCUCACUUUGGGCCUUAGGAGCCCCCAAAAACAAACAGAUAAAGUUGAAAGACAUCACAAAAAAUACGUCCAUAUUUGGUUUGGGCACUUAGUGUUAUAGGCUAAUUCUAGAAGAAGCAAGGAAGGCUAGCUAAGAAGACCUCUUCCAAGAUCCCAUUUGCCAAGACCUCACCUCACAGUCUUUCUUCAACAACUCAAUUACCCUCCCACACCUGCCCCCCCAAGAUAAUUUUGAUUGCCACCACUCCCCGGCUUCCUCCACCUCAGAGCAAUCACUCCUCUUCCUUUUCCGGGGACAGUCCUCAACUUGUGCACUGUACCCUUAGGGGUAACAAAGUUAUCAUGUGCCCCAAAGAGAAAGGGAAGGCUUGAUGUCCUCUGGCUUUGGUCUUACUGUCAUCUCCCAGAAUCCCCACCUUCUACUCCAUGACGGAUCUCUCUAUUCCCCUUCCAACCUUACAGACACCUGGCAAAAGAAUGUGACCUCCUCUCUAGGCUCUGGCUCUCUAACUCCCCUUCCUGAAACACCUGGCCCACUGGUUACCUUAGUCAGCCUGGAUCUGGACACUAACACAGCUCCUUGGCCCUCUCCCCAGAGCAACAAGCGCAGCCCCUUGGGGCUCCAACCUCUGGCCUGCAGGAGCUGGCUCCCUCUAUUUUGGAGAAGACAGAAAUGCAGAGCUGGGUGGAGAAGCCCCAUUGAGAACACGUACCCUUCCCAGCGGGAGCAGUGCGGGUAUACUCAGGGGGCCGCUCCACAUUCCCGCCCAUCUCUCCCUGACUCCUUCUUACUGCUCCCCAGUGAUCCCUGCGAUGCCCCCGAAGCUCUUUUACAUGCAAGCAAAGCAAGCCCAAGAUUAGCCAUUACUUUUUCUUAUGUUUCUCUACAUAGUAAUAAAAUGUACUUUAUG